AAGAACGUGGUUUACUUUCUGGAUGCUGAGCGGCUAGCUGCCCGGGUUCCAAUCCUGGAAGCGUUUACCUGCGAGUAAAGGCCCUUGUAUGUGCAGCCAGCGGCACCUGAUAAAGCUGUUGCUAGCUUGCACCAUGGGUGGAGUAUUUGAAAGAGGAGAGAGUCCACACGUGACAUCUGUGCGCUCUUUAGACAUCCGUGCUUCACUUGGCCACUUCUGCUUUGGAGAAAAAGCAGCGAUACUGCCUUGUGGAAUUCCAACUUCCAUGUUAUGCAGAGAGUUCCGAAGGCAAGGGAACCUGUCCAAUACUGUGGUCUAAUGUUGAUGCCAAAAGAAAAGGUCACCAUUCAGCUUCAAAUGAGUCUUUGUUCUUCUUUGUUCCUUUUGCCAGAGUCAGUUUAUGUGACAGUUUCUCUGGUAAGGCAAUUUCCCAGGGUUUAUGAAUUGACAGACCGUCCAGGGAUUUCCAGUGUGUAGCUAUCACCGAUCUGGCUGUUGGCAGCAUAAACCCAAUCAGCUUUUUAUAUUGUCUGAUUCAUCUCUGAAACUUCUCGGUUCUUCCUGAAGUUGGGGGACCGCUUCCACUGGAUUAGAAAGCAUAAGCAGCAUGUCAUCUGCAUAUAGACUUAUUACCUGCUCCUCCUUUGCUACUUUAAUCCCUGACAUUUUACCAUUUCUCCUGAGACUGCUGGCCAGAAAUUCUAUAACUAAGGUAAAGGGCAACCAGCUUUCAGUUGAAUUGCCCUUGAUUCUGUUCCAUUAAAUUUUAUAUUCAUUGUAGAGACAGUAUGAACUGCUUUCAUAGCUGAAAUAAAUUUUGGACCAAAUUUACAA
This is a long non-coding RNA of Rhineura floridana, 834 nucleotides long. RefSeq lists it as uncharacterized. NCBI's taxonomy places the organism in Eukaryota, Metazoa, Chordata, Lepidosauria, Squamata, Rhineuridae. The transcript has 3 exons. The record is from RefSeq and is a predicted model, not a curated record.